Molecule: long non-coding RNA, 718 nt
Organism: Pseudophryne corroboree (corroboree frog)
Lineage: Eukaryota; Metazoa; Chordata; Amphibia; Anura; Myobatrachidae
Exons: 4
Source: RefSeq, a predicted model, not a curated record
GGCUGAAAGCAAAUGCUCUGAGACUCAGUCGCAUAUUUAAUUAGAAGCAAGCUGCUUCCACUAUCAGUGUGUGAAUCUACCUCUCCAAUCUCUCGUGCACAUUUGUGUGAAUGAGGAGGAGAGGAGGUCAUGCCCUGAAUGUAGGAUAUUGGGCUCUUGGUCUUGGCGCGGCUUUGUCUUCAGCUGGAUUUUUUUUUUUUUUUUUUUUUUAUAAUCCAAGCAAGAAGGUGUUGCAGAGCUGGAGACACAUUUCCCAGAAGGCGUGGAUGGCACUCCUCCCAAGAUGAUGGAGGUAGCCUAGAGGGAUGUCAUGAUGAUACCCUUGAUGGGCCUAAUUUUGUGCUUAUUGAAAGAAAAAAAAAACAUUUCACAAAAAUUAGAUAUUGUUGACAUCACAAUCCAUUUUUUUUUUAAACUUUCUUACUUCAUCAUGGUGAUGUGAUAGUUUUGUAUCACACUGUGUUAUAGGUGAAGCUGUAAACAAAUAAGAUAGUUAUAUGACACAUAUUUGUUUGCACACUGUGACUAUCAUCCAAAUUACAUUUAUUGUAACAUAACAUAUUUACAAAAUGUAUUGAAUGCAGAUUAAUGAAAUGAAUGUGUAACAUUACUCUGCUUGUGUAUCCUGUUCCUGCCUUCCCUGUGCUCUGUUCUUUGUCCUUGCCUUCACUGUGUUCUGUUCCUGCCUUCCCAGUGUGUUCCUUGCCUCCUACAUACU